GGGUCAACAAUGAGAGCAGGCCAGGAACCAAGGGUUAUGCUUACUCUUAUCUCUUGCCCAUGUGUGAUGGGCUAAAAAAGGGAACAAAUCCUUUGACCACCGAGAAAUGAGGUCUCUGUCCCUUUGCUUUGAGUGUAGACGGGCUCCGUGACUGCCCUGACCGAUAUUACAUGGUCGAAGUGCCACGCUACCAGUUUCUAGCUCUAGACCCCAAGAGACAGUCACGGACUAAAUGUUUAUAUGUCUCAAAAGUCAUAUGUUGAAAUUUCACACGUCCAUGUGAGGGUAUUAGGAGAUGAGGCCUUUGGACCAUGACUAAGACUAGAGGAGGUGAUUAGCAUUAGAUGAAAUGAAUGCCCUCAUAAGACUCAUGAGAGAGCUCGCCUCCUCCUUCUGCUCUCUGCCAGGUCUGGAUACAUCCAGAAGUCAGGAGUCUGCACCCCAGAAGGUGGUGCUCCCAGACCUGACAGUGCUUGUACCCUGAUCAACCACCUCCCGCCUUCAGAGGGUUGCUGAGUCCAGGCUUGUACUUCGUGCCCCAUGACAGGCCGAUUAAUCAAGAGAUGAGUUUUGGAGGUCAAGAAUAGCAACGUUAUCCAGAAAACAGCAAACUGAGAAGAUGGUAGACUAGUGUCCUAAAGAACCAUUGUACCCGAGUUUGAAUUCGGGCUUCUUUUGUAUGAAAAGGGGGAGGGCGUGUGGCUGGUGGUUGCAGUCUUCUUGGUGCAGGAAUCCUUUGUGCUUGAGGCUGUCCAAAGUCUGGUCAUAAUGUUCCUAUAAACCUCAACAAAACUUUUGUCAUUCUCUGCUCUGCAACUUUUUAUCUCUAUAUGAAUGGGACAGGUUAUAUCUUUAAAGGUCAGAGCCUUGAGAGUGGACUGUCAUGUGUAUCUCAGGCCAUAGGCAACAUUCUUUGUACAGGUGCAGAGUCAGCAUAACUAAGCACAGGCAGCAGAGCACAAGGCUUAGAGCUAAAGGAAUAGACCCAGUAUGGAGUCAGGUUUGUGCUUCUCUGUUACAAGAACGGUGAGAAAUAAAUUUCAGUUGUUUAAGCCCCAAACUGACUCAGACAUGGACGGACAGCUCCUACUUCUGUAUCUUGGAAUUCUAGCUCUUAGAUCCCUGACUCACUCAGUAAGAAGACUGACUACCCUGCAGGAAAGGCCACAUGGAGAAGCCCAGGGAUUACAUAGACAGGAAAGGUCCCCAGCUGAAGCCACCCUUCCAGCAAGCCCUGUCCAAGUGCCAAGGGCAUGAAUAGAACCAUCUCGGAUGCUCAGAACCAGCCUGGAUACAAGCCGCAUACCACCAACGGACCCCAGUCACUGCCGCAUGGAACAGAAGGAUUAUCUUGCUGAGUUUUGCCCAAAUUCCUGACUUACAAAAUCUUGAAAUAGUUUAAAAUAACUAUUGUCCUAAGCCACUAAGCUUCUUUGAUUUUUUGAACUUGGCAUUUUGUAAAAAUCUUUGACGCACAGAAAAUUUGCAAGGGUUGUCAGGUCCCUAAAUACUUGUCAUCCAGUUCCCCAAAUGUCGACAUUUAACCAGAGCGCAACAGGAAGAAAUCAGGAAAUUGGCAUGGAUUCAAUACUGUUAACUCAUCUACAAACUUGAUUCUGACUUUCUGGGUCCCCCACCAACGUCCUUUCUCUGGUCUGGGAUCCAAUUUAUGAAUCCAGAUUCCAUUUAAUUCUUAGGUCUCCUUAGCCUCCUCCAAUCUGUGACCUCUCAGUUUCACUUUGUCGGGUAUUUUCUCAUAAUGAGGCUGAGAAUAUAUAUUUGGGGCAAGAAAAUCAGAGAACAGCCCCUUUCUCCGUGCAUCAUCUCAAGGGGUACGGGAGGUUGUACCUGAUGCCUUAUUGCUGGAAAUCAUUCAGUUAAGGUGGUUUUUCUAUCAGAGAGUUAUAUUAGUUUCCCUUUGUGAGUUAUCAGUAUUUGGUGAGAAGAUACUCAUGUAAUAUCCUCAUCAUAUUUUUCAUCUACUUCUUUUAUUUUUAUUUUCUCUUUUUUUUUUUUUUUUUUUUUUUUUUUUNNUUUCCUGGGAACCUCCAUGUGCCACAGGAGUGGCCCAAGAAAUGGCAAAAAGACCAAAAAAAAAAAAAAAAAGAAAAGAAAAAGAAACUGGUAACAGCAUGUUGAUCUGUACUGCCUUUGGGCGGGGGGGUCUCAGAAACAACUUAGCUUGUAAUCCUAAUACGGUCACGUACAGGUUAUCUUAGUAAAAUACGAUUCUGGGGAAGAGCAGCGCCUCACACUAGUCUUUAAAUCCCACUAGUUAACAAGCUUCGUGGUUAUACUAGUCACAUUUCUGUCUAUCCUCUUCAAAUAUGCUGCACAAUAUUUUUAAGACAGCGGACUGAAGAUUUAUUCAAGGCAGUGCUUCAGUUACUUUCUGAUUUGUCCUUGUGAAGUAAUGAUGAGCAGCUUUCACAGACAAUACUGGCUCCUCAAGGCUUCUUCAGUCCUGGCAGUGUUUCUGAGCAAAUGCUUUUACAGCGGCUGCUCACAGAUCUGGGGUCUUCACCCCCUACAGUUAUUCCAGUAACCAAAGUUGUGUUAUUCCCAUCUCUGCAUAUUUACAGUGUUAAGACCUACCCCACCCCACCCACAGGAUCCAAAGAGGGGUCAUGUGUCCUCAGCCAAUGAACUUGGAGAAUCAUGUCUUCUUCAAAAUUCACAUGCUACAUCCUAGCUUCCGUGAACAUGCCAAGGCCAGGUUAGGUCUGGCUGAUUUGCUAAAUCCUCUGCUAUAGUUCCUGGUGAAUGCCAAGACCAACCUCCAUCAGAUUCUCCUGAAUAUCUUUAAUUGAUGUCCCUUGUUCUCAGCAGCCUCUAGAUGAAAGGCACGUUGGUUUGCCACACAAGCGAUUAUAGCCAUUGGCUUUUUACCUUUAGCUUUGAUCUGGAGCCCACAGUAUGCAUGGCUGCUGUGAAAGACUUUCUAUCACAGGUGACCAAAGAGAAUGGCAGGAACUCUCCAUCACAUCCCAGAACAGAUGGUCAGCCCUGAGUCCAGCCGCUAGGGGCAUUCAGCCCCCAGGGAGCCCAGGCUCCUGUGGAGAGGGAUGGACCAAUCUUGCAGCAGGACGCUCUGGUGCCAGGCCCCAGGAGUAAGGUUACCCCCUAAUUCCCUUGAGCUUUGCUUCCUUAAUUUCACAGGAUGUGCUGGUGAUGGUUCCUUAUCAGUGUGUAUAGAGCUAUGUGAUUCUGUUAACUUAAGUAACUUUGUUGACUUUACGUGGCUUCUACUCUUUGACUGUUACAGUCAGAGCCGUUGUGUCCUGGCAUAUCUAGCUGUCUUUGUAUGUAAAAAUCUAUGUGGAGGAGUGGGAAUUCACAAUGGUGCAGCUGCUGUAAAGACAGUAUGGCGGGGGAGUUCCUUGGGGGUGUCGUGGUUAGGAUGCAGCGCUUUCACCACUGCAGCCAGGGUUCAAUCCCUGGUCUGAGAACUGAGAUCCCACCUCAAGCCACUGCGUGCUAAGGCUAAAAACAAAUUCCACAGUAGCCAAAAGGUGGAAGCAACCCAAGGGUCCAUCAAGAGAUGAAUGGAUGAAACAGAUAUGGUAUAUACACACAAUGGAAUUAAAAAAUGGCACUCACCGACUAGGAACCAUGAGGUCGUGGGUUCGAUCCCUGGCCUCACUCAGUGGGUUAAGGAUCCCACGAUGCUGUGGCUGAGGUGUGGGCCAGCAGCUGUAGUUCUGAUUCGACCCCUAGCCUGGGAACAUCCAUAUGCCAUGGGUGUGGCCCUAAAAAGCAAAAAAAUAAAAAUAAAAUUAAAAAAGGGAACAUAUCUAAAGGAUAAAUUUCUAGAUGUGGAAUUGUUGGGUCAAAAGCUGCAUACGUUAUUAACUUUAAGAGAUAUCAAACUGCCCUCCACUAUGACUCAUACAAGUGAAAGUGACUUUUCACAAAACCACAAUUUAAGGAAUUACCAAAAUUAUUUGCUCACUCUAGUCUUUAAAGCUGGGGAGUGAUGGGAUUCACUUGGUAGUUGUGAAAGAUCCCCCUGGCUGGUAUGUGCAGGGGGUGAGCCAAAUGGAACAGUUAGGAAACUCCUUCAGGAGUCCAGGGCUGGGAAGCUGGUGCCUCAGACCAGGAGGGUGGCAAGAGGGAAUUCAUUCAACAAAUCAAUUCAAGAUUAACUGAGUGACUACUAGGCGGUGGGCUGUUCUAGGUGUUGAGGCUACAACAGUGAACCAAAGUCCCUGCUCUCAUGGAACUGACAUUCAAAUAGGGGGAGGAGAGAGGAGAGAAAACAAACAGACAGUUGUGGAUGUUGCUCUGAAGAAAAAUAAAGCAGGGUAAGAGGAGGUGAUAUUUGGUCAGAGACCAUAGCGAAAUGAGGAAAGGAGCCCUGUGGAUAUGGAGUGGUGUUUUGUGCUGGUCUCAGCCUUUUAAAUAAGGCUGUGAUUGGACUGGACCGCAUGGUUGUUAUUGUGAUAUGACUGCAAGACACCCUUCAGCAAUAACCAUCGGGAAGCUGUGAAAAAAAUAAAAGUUUGUUACUUACAAGUAUCUGGAAAUCACACAGCACACCUGGUGAGGCCAUGGGGAGGGAGAGAGAAAGUGAGUAUAAGCCUGGGGUCCUGCUUUUAUUGGGGUUGAGGGUAGGGACCUAGGUUUUUGCAGGCUCCCUCUUUAUUGGUGAAUUUAAAGCAGAAGAGCAAAAAUUUAAAGCAUGGAAGGAGAAAAAACAGGUGGCCCAAAUAUUUUCAUGUUCAACCACUAUCUCUAAAACAAAGGAAUCUCAGUGGAGGGAGGCAGCCUGGCUUUUUAUCUAGUUGCUGGUGAUGUGUUUAUUCUAGAUAACAGUCUUUGAACACAGAAACAAAAAAUCUUUAUAACAUCUCUGUGAAGGGGAUAAAGGGACAACUGCAUAGACUUCCUGCUGCUGGUGUGGGUGACAUGGCAAUGGCCACUGUCGAGAAA
Molecule: long non-coding RNA, 4932 nt
Filed under: Sus scrofa (pig)
Lineage: Eukaryota; Metazoa; Chordata; Mammalia; Artiodactyla; Suidae
Description: lncRNA (ENSSSCG00025013783.1)
Source: RNAcentral